Molecule: ribosomal RNA, 363 nt
Filed under: uncultured bacterium
Lineage: Bacteria
Description: bacterial SSU rRNA
Rfam family: Bacterial small subunit ribosomal RNA
Source: RNAcentral
GACGAACGCUGGCGGCGUGCUUAACACAUGCAAGUCGAGCGGUAAGGCCCUUUCGGGGGUACACGAGCGGCGAACGGGUGAGUAACACGUGGGCGACCUGCCCUCAGCUCUGGGAUAAGCCUGGGAAACCGGGUCUAAUACUGGAUAUGACUCCAUGACGCAUGUUGUGGGGUGGAAAGCCUUGUGCGGCUGAGGAUGGGCCCGCGGCCUAUCAGCUUGUUGGUGGGGUGAGGCCUACCAAGGCGACGACGGGUAGCCGGCCUGAGAGGGCGACCGGCCACACUGGGACUGAGACACGGCCCAGACUCCUACGGGAGGCAGCAGUGGGGAAUCUUGCGCAAUGGGCGAAAGCCUGACGCAGCG